CACCGCCGCCACCACUCUCGAGACCUAACUAUCUUCUCCUCCAACCUCAACCACCAAUAUUCUCUAGAUGUAACCAUCUUCUCCUCCACCCUUCGCCGCCACCACCACUCUUUAGACCUAACAAUCUUCUCCUCCACCGCAACCACGAACAUUAUCUAGAUCAAACUAUCUUCUCCUCCACCCACUGCUGCCACCGCCACUCUCUUGAUAUGUUUGCCCUCAUAAUUGUGAGCCAUUGUCUAUGUUUUCCUCUUAGGUGAGAUCUGUGGUAUUCCAAGGCACCUAUGCGCUGCACCAUUCGCGUAUUCCCGACGAACCAUAGUCGUUGCCCAACUAUUAGGCCAUUCUCCAUUUACAUCUCGAACUAAAACGACGAGAUCCAAAGUCAAAGGCUUCUGCGGAAAUCUCAUUAUUCAAGUGUAGUAAGUGCGUUAAGAUGCCACUUUUGAAACGGAGAAGACGAGGUCUAAAAUCCAAGGCUUCUGCAAAAAUCUCAUUGUUCAAGUGCAGUAAGUACGUUAAGAUAGCACUUUUGGAACAAAGAAGAUGCGGUCUAAAUUCAAAGGCUUCCGUGAAAAUCGCAUUGUUCAAGUAUAGUAAGUGCUUUAAGAUGCCACUUUUGGAAUGGAGAAUACGAUGUCUAAAGUCAACAGAGAAAAAUCAGAGAUGGGAGGAAAAAAUCAAAGAGGAGAAGGAAAGAGUGGGACGUAUAUAAGGAAAGUUGGACAAAAAAGAGGUGAAAUGAGAACCUUGCGUUCUU
Triticum dicoccoides is the source of this 760-nucleotide long non-coding RNA. RefSeq lists it as uncharacterized. The transcript has 5 exons. Lineage: Eukaryota; Viridiplantae; Streptophyta; Magnoliopsida; Poales; Poaceae. The record is from RefSeq and is a predicted model, not a curated record.